Long non-coding RNA from Homo sapiens (human), 1158 nucleotides. Ensembl annotates it as long intergenic non-protein coding RNA 2241. The record is from Ensembl. Lineage: Eukaryota; Metazoa; Chordata; Mammalia; Primates; Hominidae.
CAGGUGCGUAGUGCCUCCGCCCAUCUCUCUCUUGCUCCUGGUCUCAUCGUGACGGGCCUGGUCCUGCCUCACUUUAUGCCACGACUAAGAGCUCCCUGAGGCCUCUCCAGAAGCAGAUAUCACUAUGCUUCCUACACAGCCUGCAGAACCGUAUACUCUUCUGCCGAGAGACUGUACUUCUCAGCCUCCCUUGUGGCUAGGUGUGCCAUGUGACUGAGUGCUCAUGAUUGAGAUUUCUCUUGCCUGCCACCAUGUAAGAUAUGCUUUUACUCUUCCGCCUUCCACCGUGACUGUGAGGCCUCCCCAGCCAUGUGAAACUGCCUUUGAGCUUAUACUGAAUUAUACCACCAGCUUUCCUAGGUCUUGAAGCUUACAGACAGCAGAUCUUGGGACUUCUCAGGCACCAUAAUCAAUCAUAGAUAAAUGAUCCAAUGAUUCGGAACUUGAAAAGUGGUAGCUUUAUGAAUUCUCCUUAAGAAGAAACCUGUGCCCUGAUCUUGCCUACUCACCCAAAGGCACUGUGAGAUAGCAUCAAAGGAACAGCUAGUAAGAGACACAGAGCCAGAAAUCAGGGAAGUAAAAUACACUUGACAUCUACGUUCGGAAAGAAAUUUUAGGAGGCAGAAGCAAAUGGAUCAGAAGCUGCUUAUAUUUUUGCAAGAUUACCAAAGAAACCAUUGGUGGAGAAAGUUCUGUGACCAACUUGUCUGAGUCUAGUAAGAUUGAACGCUCACACACAAGUUUCAUGAAGUGGGUUUGAUACUUACAGAUAAGCAGCAAGGACCAACAGAAGCUGAUGAUCUAUGGUGAACUUUUUCCCAAGGCUCCGGAAAGCUGCCUAAAGUAGAUGGAGUCUUCUCUGUGUGUGCCCCACUGGUCCUGCAGUUGAAGGAUCCGGUAAAGCAGCCUGCCCUUGGUUUUAUACUCCAGAGGAACGUGAUUCGCUGGACUAAAGCAUUGAAGUGCAUCCUGUUUCCGGGGGGCACUGGAACAGAGCCUGGUCUGUUCUAGCCAGUCCCUUUCUAUCUCAGGAUAACAUUCUACAGUUAUUCUUGAGAACUAUAAUCAAAUAAGCAGGGAGAACUGGGUAAGUCCAAGGCUUAUCUAUACAAGCCUUUAAAUAUUCAAGACCAAAAAAAAAAAAAAAAAAAAAAAAAA